GCUGCGGAGGGGAGAAAUAUAAUGAGGAAAAAUAUUGAGUCCGCUCAGGAGAAGUUGGGGAGGUGUUGAUGGGUUUCUAGUGUCUGCUGAGAGCAGCAGUUAAAACAGAACCUCCCGUGUUCUCAGCAGAGGGCAGCACAUAACUCUCUGGAAGAAGGGAGGGAAAACAAGCAGGUAUAUGAGGACACGGCUCUAAUGUACAUAUGAAGAACAAGUGGGGGCUCUAUCAAGUUCACUCCCCCCAGAUGGGAAGAGCAAAUAUUUGCGGUGCAGUGGCAGCGAGCCGCUACACCGGCCUGUCUGUGGCUGUUUCUCUCUGGUGGGGUUAUGAUUUUACACUGAUUUAAACUCGUGUGGACAUUACUCAAAUGAUUCCGUUUAACACCAACCGCCUUGUCUGUGGUCAACUUCUGCCAGCAGGGGGCAGGAGAGCUCUCUUCUCCGGUGUACGCGUGUGUGUGUACGUGUGUGUACGUGUGUGUGCAAAAAGAUCCUCAAUGCCGAGGAACAGUCGCCCACUAUUUCUAGUGAGGGAGGGGGUGAGGAAGGGGUGAGGGGCACGAAGAGAAGAGCAGAGAUGUUGGAGAAAUGAGCGAUGUCUCUGGGAGACUAAAAAAGAGGUUCAAUUAUAAGAAUAAUAUCCAACAACGACCUGUAAUUAAUCUGUUAACCUUCCUGAAUAAUCUGUAUCCGCGUAAUCUCAGCCAAUACUUUGAAGUCAACGCACGCAGCAAACGUUUUAUUAUGGUUGUGGACGCGUAACGUAACUCAUUCCCGCGGUGCAGAUUCAUUAGGUCAUUAACUGCCAAUUCCGCCGUUUACCGUCGGAAGACAACGGAACAACCUCGAUAGAGAACCAACUUCAAGCUGUCCAGAAGAUACUCGAUGAGACCCUUGACAACAACAACACAUUCAGUCUCUAUAUUGGUGAACAACUGGAGGAGUUUAUCAAGGUAUACCAGUGAUCGCCCCUCCGCCCAGGCAGAUGCUGUGCAGCUGGCUGUGUGAACUGUGAAAGGCCCUGAGAGAGCACAGAGCCCGGGAAAACGCACCGUGAGGCAACUUCAGACUGACAGCGGAACAACACCACCAACAACAACAAAAACAACAACAAGCCCACAUGCCACAUCUCCACUGGCUCUGGGGAGCAAGAAAAACAAAACAAGCCUCAUCCGCCCCUAGUAGAUCUGUCCUCAGCAGAUGGAGGCGUGGCAGGAUGUGGAUACGGCCGCAGUGAGUCCGGUGAGCACGCGACUGCCGUCAUGGCCUAACGAGUUUCACUCAAUCCAGCUGUGCUGUUGUUGUCGAAGUGGAAGUGGAGGUUUUACAGCGAUGCGAUUCACCCAAAGUGAUCCCAAAUGCAUGAUGUAUCACAUCAGCCUUCCGCUCCUGCCACGUUAAUAAAUGGUCCCGUAUUGGUGAUUAGGAUGCGCAGCAAUCAGUUGGGAGGUUAUGUCUUCUGUGAGAGUACCUCGGGGGUUUGCUUUAUGUCGGCAAAGCCCCGAGGCUAAACAAAUAGCUGCACGAUAAACAGACGUAUGAAUUAAUGAUGCGUCUUUGAAGAGCUGAGCUUGGUUAGAUGUUAAAACAAGAUGUGCACUGUAAUGGGUUAUUGGUUAUUUUACUGUGAUCAUCAUGCUAUAAUCUUUGAUUAUUCAGCUACUCUGACAUAUGUUGGAAAUAUUCCUUUUAAUGGACACUGUGUUGCAUUUCACAGACGUGAUUUAUAACUGUAAUCAAGCAGCAACUACAAGCUUUUAAGUGCUUUAAACAUGUUUGAGUCAUUUGAUUGUGCACUACAUAAAUAGCAUGCAGCAACAUUAGUGACAAACAUUAGCACCAAAGCUUAGCAAAACUGGCAAGACGUAGCAUUUUAUAAGCUUUAUUUUGACUACGUGGUGUUAAAUUUCAUUCUUUCCCAAUGGAGUUUGUUAGCUAAUCAUUUCAACAAUGACCACACAUUUCCUGUGUUUUGGUUGUAAACUACUAUGAUGGAAAGCCGAAGCUGUUCACUUCCAGCACUGUGUUGUUGUUUUUUUAACUCACACAUCUUCAAAGCCAGUUGUUUUCUUCUACCCUGACAUUAAGAAAUGAACUGGGGCUUAAAUCACACCCUGCCAUGAACACACAAGCAACACAUAUAGACGCUCCUCUGUCAAAAAAAGAAGGAGAAAUAUAAUUCCUGGCUGAAUAGACAAGCGGAACCAGCGGCGAAAUGAUGAAAUCUAACUUGUGGACGCACGUCACUGAUGACUAACUUGUUGUUUGUCCAGUUUCGUUUCUCCAUCAUCGACUUCCAACGUGGCGCUCUCCCUGCAGCCUCGCUGGUGCAGAUGAAAGCGCGAUUGGAUGAAGGGAUUAAAUGAAAUAAAACAACGGGGCGACGUUGGCUCAGAGCGGAGAGAUGCAGCGCUGUGAGAUGGGCAGCCGGAACAACGGGCCGAUAAACAAAUGAAUGAAUCACACGCGGAGGGAGGCCUGAAGGACUUGGUUGCUUUGUCCCCCCCAAAGACAGAGAAUAAACCAGAGAACAAGGAGCACGAUAACAACUGCAUUAAUUGCUCAGAAGGACCGCGGGUCAGAUGUGCGAACAAAUCCGUAGCGCUCCGUCCAUCAAAUAUCUCUCUCUCUCUGUGUCGCAAACAAUCAAAACCUGAUGGAAAAAAAGGAGGAACCAUCAGGGCCCCCAGACUCAUUGUUCCCUCUCUCUUCCUGUCAGUUGGCGCUGAUGAGAGCUUAUUCAACAAAAUAAUAACAGAGAACCAGACCAGUAGGCCUCAACCGGUUUCCUCAGCGGAGCAAUCUGCAAAAGAAUGGUGUCCAAAAGAUGCAAAAAGAUAGACGCCACGUGGCCUUCUGGGAAAUUGCAUAACUUUUUGAGAGGAAAAUUGUCCCGGCAAAUAAGUCCACCCAAGGCAGCGUGAGGAUUGACAACAAACUGCUGAUUUCCUGAGGAGAUAAUAGAACGCCCACAAACGGACGUAGCAGGGAGCGACAGGUGGAGAUAAUGAUUGAAUGAGUUGCAAAUAUUGUAUCCUCAUUAAGUAGUUGUGAGUGACGUUAAAAAGUCACGAGUCAAUGUGCAACGCUUUCAUUCAUAUUGUGAUUCAAAUAUUGCUAAUUCGUGACAUCACAUUUUGUUUUGUUUUUAAAAGCGAAAAAAAAAAAAAAACUGGAGUAUCUCAUGUGAGUCCGGAGCUCAGGAAAAAAAACGGCUGCGUCGAUGUCACUGCACUUACUGGUA
Long non-coding RNA from Gasterosteus aculeatus aculeatus (three-spined stickleback), 3244 nucleotides. RefSeq lists it as uncharacterized. NCBI's taxonomy places the organism in Eukaryota, Metazoa, Chordata, Actinopteri, Perciformes, Gasterosteidae. The record is from RefSeq and is a predicted model, not a curated record.